This 268-nucleotide ribosomal RNA is filed under the name uncultured bacterium. RNAcentral's name for it is "partial 16S ribosomal RNA". It matches the Rfam family "Bacterial small subunit ribosomal RNA", at positions 334 to 618 of the family's 1533-position model. The record is from RNAcentral.
UUCCCCUCCGGGGGGCCGCCGUGGGGAAUAUUGCACAAUGGGGGCCCCCCUGCUGCCGCUCCUCCUCUUUCUUGAAUAAGUAUUUCGGUAUGUAAAGCUCUAUCAGCAGGGAAGAAAAAAGACGGUACCUGACUAAGAAGCCCCGGCUAACUACGUGCCAGCAGCCGCGGUAAUACGUAGGGGGCAAGCGUUAUCCGGAUUUACUGGGUGUAAAGGGAGCGUAGACGGCGCGGCAAGUCUGAAGUGAAAGGCAGGGGCUUAACCCCUG